RNAcentral lists this ribosomal RNA (564 nucleotides) under Triticum aestivum (bread wheat). RNAcentral describes it as "partial small subunit ribosomal RNA". The record is from RNAcentral. Lineage: Eukaryota; Viridiplantae; Streptophyta; Magnoliopsida; Poales; Poaceae.
AUGCACCCCGAUGAGAGGGAAGCUGUCAUCGACGACCUCAUGGCGUUCCAAGAGAGCAAGGAAUACUAUGCCAAGGUCGGCAAGGCAUGGAAGCACGGGUACCUCCUUUACGGACCGCCCGGCACCGGCAAGUCCACCAUGAUCGCCGCCAUGGCCAACUUCCUCAACUAUGACGUCUAUGACCUCGAGGUCACAGCGAUCAAGAACAACAACGAGUUGCGGAAGCUCUUCGUUGAGACAACAAGCAAGUCUACCAUCGACUGCUCCAUCGACCUCACUGGAAAACACCGCACGGACAAGAAGGCCUCAAGCAACAAGGACCCAGACAACAAUGACAAUCCCAAGCUACCGAUAGACCCGGAGAAGGACGAUGCCACCAAGGUGACGCCUUCAGGCCUGCUUAACUUCAUCGACGGGUUGUGGUCUGCUUGCGGAGGUGAAAGGACUAUCAUCUUCACCACCAACCACAAGGAGAAGCUAGACCCGGCGCUGAUCCGGCGGGGCAGGAUGGACAAACACAUCGAGAUGUCCUACUGCCGCUUUGAGGGCUUCAAGAGAACCUGA